AGAGUUUGAUCAUGGCUCAGAUUGAACGCUGGCGGCAGGCCUAACACAUACAAGUCGAACGGUAACAUUUCUAGCUUGCUAGAAGAUGACGAGUGGCGGACGGGUGAGUAAUGCUUGGGAACUUGCCUUUGCGAGGGGGAUAACAGUUGGAAACGACUGCUAAUACCGCAUAACGUCUACGGACCAAACGGGGCUUAGGCUCCGGCGCAAAGAGAGGCCCAAGUGAGAUUAGCUAGUUGGUAAGGUAAUGGCUUACCAAGGCAACGAUCUCUAGCUGUUCUGAGAGGAAGAUCAGCCACACUGGAACUGAGACACGGUCCUGACUCCUACGGGAGGCAGCAGUGGGGAAUAUUGCACAAUGGGGGAAACCCUGAUGCAGCCAUGCCGCGUGUGUGAAGAAGGCCUUCGGGUUGUAAAGCACUUUCAGUUGUGAGGAAAAGUUAGUAGUUAAUACCUGCUAGCCGUGACGUUAACAACAGAAGAAGCACCGGCUAACUCCGUGCCAGCAGCCGCGGUAAUACGGAGGGUGCGAGCGUUAAUCGGAAUUACUGGGCGUAAAGCGCACGCAGGCGGUUUGUUAAGCUAGAUGUGAAAGCCCCGGGCUCAACCUGGGAUAGUCAUUUAGAACUGGCAGACUAGAGUCUUGGAGAGGGGAGUGGAAUUCCAGGUGUAGCGGUGAAAUGCGUAGAUAUCUGGAGGAACAUCAGUGGCGAAGGCGACUCCCUGGCCAAAGACUGACGCUCAUGUGCGAAAGUGUGAGUAGCGAACAGGAUUAGAUACCCUGGUAGUCCACACCGUAAACGCUGUCUACUAGCUGUUUGUGACUUUAAGUCGUGAGUA
This 840-nucleotide ribosomal RNA is filed under the name uncultured marine microorganism. Its description in RNAcentral is "bacterial SSU rRNA". It matches the Rfam family "Bacterial small subunit ribosomal RNA", at positions 8 to 845 of the family's 1533-position model. The record is from RNAcentral.